RNAcentral lists this ribosomal RNA (253 nucleotides) under uncultured prokaryote. Its description in RNAcentral is "partial 16S ribosomal RNA". It matches the Rfam family "Bacterial small subunit ribosomal RNA", at positions 525 to 777 of the family's 1533-position model. The record is from RNAcentral.
ACGGGGGGAGCAAGCGUUGUUCGGAUUUACUGGGCGUAAAGCGCACGUAGGCGGCUUUGUAAGUUAGAGGUGAAAGCCCAGGGCUCAACCCUGGAAUUGCCUUUAAGACUGCAUCGCUUGAACAUCGGAGAGGUGAGUGGAAUUCCGAGUGUAGAGGUGAAAUUCGUAGAUAUUCGGAAGAACACCAGUGGCGAAGGCGACUCACUGGACAUGUAUUGACGCUGAGGUGCGAAAGCGUGGGGAGCAAACAGGA